AUGAUAGCCUUCAAGCCAUACAGCUCACAACCACAGUAGCUGUGAAAACUACCAACCUAGCAACCACUGGAGGAAACAAAACAGGUUUAGAGCUCACCAAAAAGCCCAAGACUUGUCACUGUUAGACCUGUCAGUCAGCUACCCGGAAAAGCUCCAUUCUCCAGGAGACUGGCUAAGGAAGAAUGCGAUCUGUGGAAACAACAGAACUGGCAUCACCUGAGAGCUUGCAGAUACCGCAGAAACUCCGGCCCUACCCAGAUGUACUAAAUGAGGUCCUCCGUGUUGCUAUGCUAAAUUCAACUGAAGAAGCUGAAGUAUUGCACCUUUACGCUACAUACUUUACAGUUCACAAAUACACUAUUUCAUGUAUGACUUGUCCUCUCUAAACUGAGAGAACAGACUAACCUGGGAGAAGCUGGAAUUUAAACUUUUAAAAUUAAUCGUGACAUCUUAGCUCAAGUAACUGUAACACAUGGUUUGACUGCCUUAGGAAAAUACAAAGCAGAAAAGCUUUAACUUUGAAACUCAAGCAAAAAUAUUUGAGAAUACAUCUUCCACCUCAUACUCCCCACGCACCCAGUAAUACUGCAGCUGCCUUCAGACUAUUAAAAGUCCCCAGGUCCCUUAAACCAGUUCCAAGUCCCCACCCCAAUCAAAGGACAAUGCCCAUACAUACAGGAGCUAUGACUACAGCUACAGGCCAAUGCCUAUACAGCAUAGGAGCCAAUUAAAGAGGCCAUAAGUGAAAGUACUUAGGCAUAAGGAAACAAAAUGAAAAAUAAAAAUAAAAGAAAGAGGCCAUAACUACUAGAAAGAGUGCUGGUCACGAGAACUAAGUUCUACUCUCCACAAUCAACACUAAUAAUGUGACUUUGGGUUCAUUCAUUACUCCAUUUUCUCAUGGUUAAA
This is a long non-coding RNA of Gorilla gorilla gorilla (western lowland gorilla), 909 nucleotides long. RefSeq lists it as uncharacterized. NCBI's taxonomy places the organism in Eukaryota, Metazoa, Chordata, Mammalia, Primates, Hominidae. The transcript has 3 exons. The record is from RefSeq and is a predicted model, not a curated record.